AUUAUUGAAAAUAAUAAGACAUGGAUUUGGAUAUUUCCCUUUAACUAUUCAUGUCAACUAAACGGGGGGAUUGAAGGGAAUUUUGUGAAGAGAAAAUGGAUUAUGGGAGUGUGUGACGUGAACUAUUGAUUGGUCUGUGUAGAUAUAUGCCUGCCGCAUGGGAAUUCACAACCAAGUGUGUCUUUGUUCGAAUCGUCGUGUAAGCCCUAUACAGAGGAUAG
RNAcentral lists this long non-coding RNA (221 nucleotides) under Nicotiana benthamiana. RNAcentral's name for it is "long non-coding RNA (NBEN_LNC026109)". The record is from RNAcentral. Lineage: Eukaryota; Viridiplantae; Streptophyta; Magnoliopsida; Solanales; Solanaceae.